Molecule: ribosomal RNA, 460 nt
Filed under: uncultured bacterium
Lineage: Bacteria
Description: partial 16S ribosomal RNA
Rfam family: Bacterial small subunit ribosomal RNA
Source: RNAcentral
CCUACGGGGGGCAGCAGUGAGGAAUAUUGGUCAAUGGACGAGAGUCUGAACCAGCCAAGUAGCGUGAAGGAUGACUGCCCUAUGGGUUGUAAACUUCUUUUAUAUGGGAAUAAAAUGUUCCACGUGUGGGAUUUUGUAUGUACCAUAUGAAUAAGGAUCGGCUAACUCCGUGCCAGCAGCCGCGGUAAUACGGAGGAUGCGAGCGUUAUCCGGAUUUAUUGGGUUUAAAGGGAGCGUAGGUGGAUUGUUAAGUCAGUUGUGAAAGUUUGGGGCUCAACCGUAAAAUUGCAAAUGAUACUGGCAGACUAGAGUACAGUAGAGGUGGGCGGAAUUCGUGGUGUAGCAGUGAAAUGCGUAGAUAUCACGAAGAACUCCGAUUGCGAAGGCAGCUCACUGGACUGCAACUGACACUGAGGCUCGAAAGUGUGGGUAGCAAACAGGAUUAGAUACCCCAGUAGUC